This 492-nucleotide ribosomal RNA is filed under the name uncultured bacterium. Its description in RNAcentral is "partial 16S ribosomal RNA". It matches the Rfam family "Bacterial small subunit ribosomal RNA", at positions 29 to 507 of the family's 1533-position model. The record is from RNAcentral.
AGUGAACGCUGGCGGUAGGCCUAACACAUGCAAGUCGAACGGCAGCACAGUAAGAGCUUGCUCUUACGGGUGGCGAGUGGCGGACGGGUGAGGAAUACAUCGGAAUCUACUUUUUCGUGGGGGAUAACGUAGGGAAACUUACGCUAAUACCGCAUACGACCUACGGGUGAAAGCAGGGGAUCUUCGGACCUUGCGCGAUUCAAUGAGCCGAUGUCGGAUUAGCUAGUUGGCGGGGUAAAGGCCCACCAAGGCGACGAUCCGUAGCUGAUCUGAGAGGAUGAUCAGCCACACUGGAACUGAGACACGGUCCAGACUCCUACGGGAGGCAGCAGUGGGGAAUAUUGGACAAUGGGCGCAAGCCUGAUCCAGCCAUACCGCGUGGGUGAAGAAGGCCUUCGGGUUGUAAAGCCCUUUUGUUGGGAAAGAAAAGCAGCAGGUUAAUACCCCGCUGUUCUGACGGUACCCAAAGAAUAAGCACCGGCUAACUUCGUG